UACUGCUCUAUAGUCUAUAGUAGUAGCCGACCAACGGUCGGUGCCAACGUCUGCUCUGUUGAUCCAUCUGAAUGGACGGCUUUUACACCAUGUUCAAUUGUUCAUGGACGGCUUGUACACCAGUGAAAUUGGGAAAAGACGGCUUGUACACCACCUGAAAAAAGUCGUCCAUUACUAAGCCAUCCCUGGCUGAUGCAUCAUCGUCUGAUGCAUUGUCCGAGCUUUUAUAUCUUAAGUGUUUGAACAAGAAAUUACAUGGAGAGGAAGCUUCAGUUUGGUACUUGAUUUGUCCCUUUGUUGGGCAAGAUGGAAAAAGAUCAGUGUUCGGAUCAAAAAUAGUAUUCCCAUGCUUUUCCUUGAAAUCCUGUGAUGCUCACUGUUGUGGCGGAAUUAUCUCAUUUGUUCGUUUUCGAAUUACAUGCGUCAUUUCUGCUAGAAUAGAAAACUGAUUACCAGAUCAUACAUCGAAAUGUUUGAAGAUUUGAUUUUAGACUUCAUAGUUGGUUUUUCACUAUCACAAGUUAACUCUUUAUAUACGCUUACAAUGAAAGAACGUGUCGUGCUGCAUUCAAACAUUGAAAAGUCCAGUUUCCGUGGGUGGUUUCGUUGUUGUAAAUGUUUUCCUUCUGCCAAAGUAGAUAUUGCCAGUCGUUUGGACCAAGUUCUCUUGCGCUAACUUACGUAGUAUUGUCUCCCAGCAAUUCGAUAGUUUGCAUUUUGUCAUUUCUUGUGUUUUAUUGUUGCGUAUCAGUUGUGCUUAUUUUGGAACGUUUGUUUUAUGUCG
This 784-nucleotide long non-coding RNA is filed under the name Daphnia magna. Its description in RNAcentral is "uncharacterized LOC116932258, transcript variant X1". The record is from RNAcentral. Lineage: Eukaryota; Metazoa; Arthropoda; Branchiopoda; Diplostraca; Daphniidae.